GACGAACGCUGGCGGCGUGCUUAACACAUGCAAGUCGAGCGGUAAGGCCCUUUCGGGGGUACGACGAGCGGCGAACGGGUGAGUAACACGUGGGUGACCUGCCCUCAGCUCUGGGAUAAGCCUGGGAAACGUAGGGUCUAAUACUGGAUAUGACUCCACGGUGCAUGUCGUGGGGUGGAAAGCCUUGUGCGGCUGAGGAUGGGCCCGCGGCCUAUCAGCUUGUUGGUGGGGAUGGCCUACCAAGGCGACGACGGGUAGCCGGCCUGAGAGGGCGACCGGCCACACUGGGACUGAGACACGGCCCAGACUCCUACGGGAGGCAGCAGUGGGGAAUCUUGCGCAAUGGGCGAAAGCCUAACGCAGCGACGCCGCGUGAGGGAUGACGGCCU
RNAcentral lists this ribosomal RNA (389 nucleotides) under uncultured bacterium. RNAcentral's name for it is "bacterial SSU rRNA". It matches the Rfam family "Bacterial small subunit ribosomal RNA", at positions 28 to 417 of the family's 1533-position model. The record is from RNAcentral.